UACGUAGGGGGCAAGCGUUAUCCGGAUUUACUGGGUGUAAAGGGAGCGUAGACGGCAGGGCAAGUCUGAAGUGAAAGCCCGGGGCUCAACCCCGGGACUGCUUUGGAAACUGUCCGGCUAGAGUGCAGGAGAGGUAAGUGGAAUUCCUAGUGUAGCGGUGAAAUGCGUAGAUAUUAGGAGGAACACCAGUGGCGAAGGCGGCUUACUGGACUGUAACUGACGUUGAGGCUCGAAAGCGUGGGGAGCAAACAGGAUUAGAUACCCUGGUAGUCCACGCGGUAAACGAUGAUUACUAGGUGUCGGGGGUUAAUAAACCUUCGGUGCCGCAGCAAACGCAAUAAGUAAUCCACCUGGGGAGUACGUUCGCAAGAAUGAA
Molecule: ribosomal RNA, 376 nt
Filed under: uncultured bacterium
Lineage: Bacteria
Description: bacterial SSU rRNA
Rfam family: Bacterial small subunit ribosomal RNA
Source: RNAcentral